GACGAACGCUGGCGGCAUGCCUAACACAUGCAAGUCGAACGAGACCUCCGGGUCUAGUGGCGCACGUGUGCGUACCGCGUGGGAACUUGCCCUUAGGUUCGGAAUACCUCAGAGAAAGAUGAGCCUAUACCGGAUGAUGUCUUCGGACCUAUGAUUUAUCGCCUUUAGAUGGGCGCGCGUUGGAUUUGCUGGUUGGUGGGGUAAAGGCCUGCCAAGGCGAGGUUCCAUAGCUGGUCUGUGAGUAUGAUCCGCCACACUGGAGCUAAGACACGGCCCAGACUCCGACGGAAGGCAGCAGUAGGUAAUAUUGUACAAUGGGGGAAGGCCUGAUGCAGCAGUGUCGCGUAAGUGAUGAAGGCCGUAGGGUUGUUAAGCUCUUUUACCCGAGAUGUUAAUGACAGUACCGGGAGAAUAAGCUCCGGCUAACUCCGUG
This 433-nucleotide ribosomal RNA is filed under the name uncultured bacterium. Its description in RNAcentral is "partial 16S ribosomal RNA". It matches the Rfam family "Bacterial small subunit ribosomal RNA", at positions 28 to 507 of the family's 1533-position model. The record is from RNAcentral.